RNAcentral lists this ribosomal RNA (1292 nucleotides) under human oral metagenome. Its description in RNAcentral is "bacterial LSU rRNA". It matches the Rfam family "Bacterial large subunit ribosomal RNA", at positions 1391 to 2543 of the family's 2925-position model. The record is from RNAcentral.
CUAAGGCGAGGCCGACAGGCGUAGUCGAUGGACAACCAGUUGAUAUUCUGGUACCGCGUUAUGACCGCCCAUGCUGAAGUCAUUGUGCUAACCAAUCUGCCCGCGCACCCUUGUGGCUUUCGGGCUGCGAGCGUGUGUGUGGGUCUUGGGGUCCCGGUGAUGGUAGGCAAGCGUGUUAACAGGGGUGACGCAGACAGGUAGCUGCAGUGCGCCGAUGGUUGUGCGUAUUUAAGGUUGUGGCCCGCCGCCCAGGUAAAUCCGGGUGGCACGAGGGGUGAGAACUGAUGAGGGACACACGCGUGUGUGGACUUGUGGUGAUCCUAUGCUGCCGAGAAAAGCCUCGACGUGAGGGCAUGACGCGCCCGUACCCUAAACCGACUCAGGUGGUCAGGUAGAGUAUACCGAGGCGUUCGAGUGAAUCGUGGUUAAGGAACUCGGCAAAAUUCCUCCGUAACUUCGGGAUAAGGAGGACCCCGUGACUUCCCCACACCGUGCGUGUGGGUGGGGUUGUGGGGUCGCAGAGAAUAGGGAGAAGCGACUGUUUAUCAAAAACACAGGUGCGUGCGAAGCCGUAAGGCGAUGUAUACGCACUGACGCCUGCCCGGUGCUGGAAGGUUAAGAGGAACCGUUAACACUCCUUUGUGGGUGUGAAGCGGUGAAUUUAAGCCCCAGUAAACGGCGGUGGUAACUAUAACCAUCCUAAGGUAGCGAAAUUCCUUGUCGGGUAAGUUCCGACCUGCACGAAUGGCGUAACGACUUCUCCGCUGUCUCAACCGCGAACUCGGUGAAAUUGCAGUACGAGUAAAGAUGCUCGUUUCGCGCAGAAGGACGGAAAGACCCCGGGACCUUUACUAUAGCUUGGUAUUGGUGUUCGCUUGGACUUGUGUAGGAUAGGUGGGAGACUGUGAAGCUGCCGCGCCAGCGGUGGUGGAGUCGUCGUUGAAAUACCAUUCUGGUUCAAGCGGUCACCUCAACCUUGGCCCGUGAUCCGGGUUGGGGACAGUGCCUGGUGGGUAGUUUAACUGGGGCGGUUGCCUCCUAAAAUGUAACGGAGGCGCUCAAAGGUUCCCUCAGCCUGGUUGGUAAUCAGGUGGCGAGUGCAAGUGUACAAGGGAGCUUGACUGUGAGACCGACGGGUCGAGCAGGUGCGAAAGCAGGAACUAGUGAUCCGGCCAUGGCACGUGGGUGCGUGGUCGCUCAACGGAUAAAAGGUACCCCGGGGAUAACAGGCUGAUCUUGCCCAAGAGUCCAUAUCGACGGCAUGGUUUGGCACCUCGAUGUCGGCUCGUCGC